CCCCUCGAUUUCCGUGCGCCGAUCGCCUAUAUCGGCUCUGCCUACCUUCGGGUGGCUAUGGUGAUAAACGGUACGUGGAAUAAGCAUUUCGGACCCGGGGGCAGUGCCCGGCGUCUCCACCAAUCUAGCCCGCCAGGGAUCGUAUGGCGGCCGAUGGGGACGAAACAGCUUCGACGUAUGCGGUAAAGACGUAUCUUUUGCCCGGCAUUGUACCGCCGUUAUCGGGCUAUUUCACAAGUGCCAACGAUAAUGGUCGCGAGACCAUGGCGCUCGCUGCCUAACCAUAGGUAAGCGCUGCCCGGGGGGAGCAGGGCAACAGAAUCCCCCCACU
RNAcentral lists this transfer-messenger RNA (331 nucleotides) under Teichococcus aerophilus. It matches the Rfam family "Alphaproteobacteria transfer-messenger RNA". From Rfam's summary of the family: Bacterial tmRNA, also known as 10Sa RNA or SsrA, is named for its dual tRNA and mRNA-like properties. Lineage: Bacteria; Pseudomonadati; Pseudomonadota; Alphaproteobacteria; Acetobacterales; Roseomonadaceae. The record is from RNAcentral.